This 107-nucleotide ribosomal RNA is filed under the name uncultured bacterium. RNAcentral describes it as "partial 16S ribosomal RNA". It matches the Rfam family "Bacterial small subunit ribosomal RNA", at positions 1367 to 1482 of the family's 1533-position model. The record is from RNAcentral.
UACGUUCCCGGGCCUUGUACACACCGCCCGUCAAGCCAUGGAAGCUGGGGGUGCCUGAAGUCGGUGACCGCAAGGAGCUGCCUAGGGUAAAACUAGUAACUGGGGCU